GUCUACGGCCACAUCACCCUGAACGUGCCCGAUCUCGUCUGAUCUCGGAAACUAAGCAGGGUCGGGCCUAGUUAAUACUUGGAUGGGAGACCACCUAGGAAUACCAGGUGCUAUAGGCG
RNAcentral lists this ribosomal RNA (119 nucleotides) under Pteropus alecto (black flying fox). The record is from RNAcentral. Lineage: Eukaryota; Metazoa; Chordata; Mammalia; Chiroptera; Pteropodidae.